GGACGUGUGCCUGAACUUACACAAGGAUUACUUUGAUAGAGUAAACAACAGAGGUUAAAAUCCUCUCACUUCC
Molecule: transfer RNA, 73 nt
Filed under: Sceloporus squamosus
Lineage: Eukaryota; Metazoa; Chordata; Lepidosauria; Squamata; Phrynosomatidae
Description: tRNA-Ile
Rfam family: tRNA
About the family: Transfer RNA (tRNA) molecules are approximately 80 nucleotides in length.
Source: RNAcentral